Molecule: ribosomal RNA, 469 nt
Filed under: uncultured bacterium
Lineage: Bacteria
Description: bacterial SSU rRNA
Rfam family: Bacterial small subunit ribosomal RNA
Source: RNAcentral
AGAGUUUGAUCAUGGCUCAGAACGAACGCUGGCGGCAGGCCUAACACAUGCAAGUCGAGCGCCCCGCAAGGGGAGCGGCGGACGGGUGAGUAACGCGUGGGAACGUGCCCUUUGCUACGGAAUAGCCUCGGGAAACUGGGAGUAAUACCGUAUGUGCCCUUCGGGGGAAAGAUUUAUCGGCAAAGGAUCGGCCCGCGUUGGAUUAGGUAGUUGGUGGGGUAAUGGCCUACCAAGCCGACGAUCCAUAGCUGGUUUGAGAGGAUGAUCAGCCACACUGGGACUGAGACACGGCCCAGACUCCUACGGGAGGCAGCAGUGGGGAAUCUUAGACAAUGGGCGCAAGCCUGAUCUAGCCAUGCCGCGUGAGCGAUGAAGGCCUUAGGGUUGUAAAGCUCUUUCGUGGGGGAAGAUAAUGACUGUACCCCAAGAAGAAGCCCCGGCUAACUCCGUGCCAGCAGCCGCGGUAAUA